Vigna angularis (adzuki bean) is the source of this 553-nucleotide long non-coding RNA. RefSeq lists it as uncharacterized. The transcript has 3 exons. The record is from RefSeq and is a predicted model, not a curated record. NCBI's taxonomy places the organism in Eukaryota, Viridiplantae, Streptophyta, Magnoliopsida, Fabales, Fabaceae.
AUAAGGCUAUUGGACCCUGCAGCCAGGCUCAAAGGGCCAAAGGCACCCUGACUUAGAAGGGGUUCCUUCAUUUUCCAACUCUGAGCCACUUUCCAAUUCUUCUCUCCUUCUCUCUCUAAACUCAGUUUUCCUCCUUCCUUCUCUGCCUUCUCUCUACCCUUACACUCAUUUGAACCGUUGAAAUUUCGAUUAGGUGGUGUUCUUUCGCUCACGGAGUUGAGGGCUUCCUAUCCAUCUGAUUAGUUUUCGAUUUGGACGGGUGGUUGUAGGGCACUAUUUGGGUUUUCUCUGUGAAGGCACUGUUAGGACACUCUAGUUGGCUAUACUGCUCAACUCCAAGAGGAAGAUGAGGUUUCUUUGGAGGCAACAUUGGAGAGAAAUGAAGAUGAUGCUGCAGCUUAGACUCACUAGGAAUUCUUAGUUCUCUUAUGUCCUUUUGAAGAACCUUGUUAUGUUUUAAGUUUCAAAUUCUGGACAUAUUUUGGAAUACUCUAGUGCUUGAAGUUUUAAUUCCUUAGUAAAUUCUGGAAGACUGUAAUCCUAUAAUACUUUA